Molecule: ribosomal RNA, 253 nt
Filed under: uncultured bacterium
Lineage: Bacteria
Description: partial 16S ribosomal RNA
Rfam family: Bacterial small subunit ribosomal RNA
Source: RNAcentral
UACGUAGGGACCAAGCGUUGCUCGGAAUUAUUGGGCGUAAAGCGCGCGUAGGCGGCUUGGCAAGUCGGAUGUGAAAUCCCUUGGCUCAACCAAGGAAGUGCAUCCGAAACUGCCGAGCUUGAGUACUUAAGAGGAUCGCGGAAUUCCCGGUGUAGAGGUGAAAUUCGUAGAUAUCGGGAGGAACACCAGUGGCGAAGGCGGCGAUCUGGGAAGAUACUGACGCUGAGGUGCGAAAGCGUGGGGAGCAAACAGG